Hordeum vulgare subsp. vulgare (domesticated barley) is the source of this 125-nucleotide non-coding RNA. NCBI's taxonomy places the organism in Eukaryota, Viridiplantae, Streptophyta, Magnoliopsida, Poales, Poaceae. The record is from Rfam.
UUAAUACUCCCUCCGUCCGGAAAUACUUGUCGAUGAAAUGGAUAAAAAUGGAUGUAUCUNNAACUAAAAUACAUCUAGAUACAUACAUUCCUCCGACAAAUAUUUCUGGACGGAGGGAGUAUAAA